CUGACUGAAAGAGAGAGACAGACCUCUGAGCACCCUGUCAAUUCAGUUGCUGUUAGUUGAAAAGAAAUGCGGUCUGCUGUGUGCACACCUGGCCCUAAGCAGCUCUCUGGGCACUCAUCAGCAGAAAGCUAAUCUUUAAUGCAUGCUCAAGCUGGCUAAACAAGCCUGGAAGACUUAACCCUUUCAACGCCUCUCCCUUGAUUAAUGAAGGUCUAUAGCCAACGAUUUGACCUACAGCACAGGAAGAGAUUGCUACCAGAGAUUGCUACCAUACCAUUCAAGAACAAAAACAACAUCAGCAUAGGGAUUAAUGAUAACGUCUCUUAUACCAAGAAGAGGUGCAAUGACCACAGAGAGUUUGAGUGGAUGCGAUGAGCAAACAAUUUGUCUCUGCUCCACAGGGGUUGGUACAACAAAGCAGAUACAGACACCAAGAUUAGCCUCGAUUCCCACUGCCCCAAAUCACUGAAGCCCCAUCAUUGACAAAUUAAACCUGCUGCCAACUUACAGUCUCCACGAAGUGAUUAGAAAUGAAAAGACAUUGACAGAAUCUCACAAUAUUAAGCUAUAAAGAUCCUCCUUUUUUAUAUAAAUAAAUAAAUAAAUAAAUAAUGUGCUUGUGGAAUCUGUGUAUAAAACUAUUGGAAGAAACUUGGGUAGAAAUAACACAGAUGAAAGCAUUGUAUGAAAGAUUUCUAUAAGUGAUGUUUCCCUUUUAACAGUAGCAAAACUUUGCGACAAAUAAAACAUACAUUGCUGCAUUUUGGGCCAAAUUUGUAUUAACAUUAAUCACUUUCUGUACAGAACAGAAAGCCUAUUAAUAAUUUGGGUUACUCAAGCAAUGGAGAGAAUUGUCAUUUUGCCAUUUAGGCUAUCCUGUGAAUGGGAUCCUUUGUGACGUUUGUUAAUUGAAACUGCACCACGUCCUGUUAUCACUGGAUAAGAGGAUUUGAAACCCUAAAUUUAGUGAAUGGCUAAAAUAUCUAAUUUCUCUGCUUAGUUAAUUGUUCUUGCUUUUACUAGGCUCCAGAAAUACUGCUUGUAGGUAUAAUUAAUAUUUUGACACAAAAUGCUUCAGAAAUAUUGAUAAAAACUUCUCAUCAGAAAAAAUGUCACUGUAUCACUAAGUUUCUUUUUAGUACUAUUUACGUUAAAGGUUAUGGUUAGGGUUCUACUUAAAUCGUGGUUUAAACUGCUGCC
Molecule: long non-coding RNA, 1200 nt
Organism: Polyodon spathula (Mississippi paddlefish)
Lineage: Eukaryota; Metazoa; Chordata; Actinopteri; Acipenseriformes; Polyodontidae
Exons: 3
Source: RefSeq, a predicted model, not a curated record